AGCGAACGCUGGCGGCAGGCCUAACACAUGCAAGUCGAACGGAUCCUUCGGGAUUAGUGGCGGACGGGUGAGUAACACGUGGGAACGUGCCCUUUGGUUCGGAACAACUCAGGGAAACUUGAGCUAAUACCGGAUGUGCCCUUCGGGGGAAAGAUUUAUCGCCAUUGGAGCGGCCCGCGUCUGAUUAGCUAGUUGGUGAGGUAACGGCACACCAAGGCGACGAUCAGUAGCUGGUUUGAGAGGAUGAUCAGCCACACUGGGACUAAGACACGGCCCAGACUCCUACGGGAGGGAGCAGUGGGGAAUCUUGCGCAAUGGGCGAAGGCCUGACGCAGCCAUGCCGGGUGAAUGAUGAAGGUCUUAGGAUUGUAAAAUUCUUUCAGCGGGGACGAUAAUGACGGUACCCGCAGAAGAAGCUCCGGCUAACUUCGUG
This 433-nucleotide ribosomal RNA is filed under the name uncultured bacterium. Its description in RNAcentral is "partial 16S ribosomal RNA". It matches the Rfam family "Bacterial small subunit ribosomal RNA", at positions 29 to 507 of the family's 1533-position model. The record is from RNAcentral.